Molecule: non-coding RNA, 599 nt
Organism: Camelina sativa (false flax)
Lineage: Eukaryota; Viridiplantae; Streptophyta; Magnoliopsida; Brassicales; Brassicaceae
Source: RefSeq, a predicted model, not a curated record
UACGAGAAGAGUGAGUGACGCUCCUCCCAAAGUCUCUCUCUCGCAAACAACAACAACAAAAAAAAAAUCUCUGCUCUUCGCUUCGCUUCGCUCGUCUUCUACUUCUCAUCUUCCUCAGUAACCCAUCUCAAUCGGUAUUCAUCUCUCUGGCUUUAAUUGGUAGUAGUCUCUCUAAUUGGUCCUCUUUCUCUCUGCAAUUGCUUGUUUGUAAGUGGUAUGAAGGUUACUGUACUGCUACAUGACAGUCCUCAGAGGUGCAUCCGUAUUAUAUGUAGCUAGCUACUGGGAAGUGGGAACAAGAACUCUAACCGAGAAGCUAUCAUGGUUCCUGGACGAGGGAGGGAGGUGAAGGGCACAAUUCAAAUCCUUAGAUUUUGCCUUGAUUGUGGAAGCUUGAGGAAUUGCUGGCAAGCAUGUCAUUGUCGAUUCUCAGGAUCUUUCUGUUUUCGUUUGCAAUGGGACCUGUGAUAGCAUAUCACACGAAGUCGCACACACAAGUUUCGUCUCUUCUGUGGUAUUUGAUCUUCUACUGACUCGGAUUGUUUUUGUUUUUGUGUUUCCAACGGGACUUGUGGAAGAGCAGCAGCACAUCGUCCACG